GUAAGUUAGGCAUAUUAUUUUGGCCUUUUUUGAAUAAAUUUAGCUUUUGUCCUCCCAAUUUUUUCUUCCACUAUUUUUAGUUGAUUUAAUUAGUGUUUGUUAUAAAUCUUAAAUCGACACAAUUAAUCUGCUCUAGAUAGCUUGCUGUUCUACAUGCCGCAGUCACCUCCACACCACCACCAGCUCUUCCCCAUCCAUAACCCCCACCAUCUCCACCGCCGCAACCACCUCCACAUCUUUCACCACCACUGCCACCCACACCAUUACCACCACCAUAUUGGUUGUGACCACCAACCUCCAAAUCCAUUACAUUGUUUGAUUGACUUUCAAUUCUAAUGUCUAGGCUGCUACUUCUGGUGCUGGUGGUAACAAUGUCAUCAUAUUCUCAUAGAAGAUGGUUUCUCUUCUACACAAGCCAUAAUAGCACAGACCAUCAGAAGGGAGGCAGCAAAAGUUGCAACAAAGACUAAACCCCGCCAGGGGAUCCUCCGAAGGAGACCCCCAUUGUCCUCUCACUACAGGAAAUUGGCAAAUUUCCGACUCUGUAUUGCCGAUGCUAGAUAGAGACGUUGACAAUUUCUCCUCGAGCGACAAACCUUUCCAACACUUUUUAGAAGCAUUGAAAAAUAAAGGGCUCCGCCAACGCUUUUCUUAACAUCGUUGGAAGCCGUCAAUUACCGAUGCUUAUAAGCAUUGGCGGAAGCCAAAAUUCGACAACGCUCUCCAUUUAUCUCCCCCCACCCCACACCGACCUCCUCCAUCAGCCCCAAAUUCUUAAUUCACCCCGACCACCCCCCUUCUCAACCCCUUUCACUAUCUCAGCCCCAAAUUACCCACCUCCGUCUCUCUCCACCGCAUCUCUUUCUCCUCCUCCCCCUCCGACCCCCUCCAUCAACCCCAAAUCUCUAACCCACCCUGACUGCCCCCCUCCUCAGCCCUUUCACCAUCUCAGCCCCAAAUCGCCUCUCUCCGCCACUCCUCCCCCCUCUGCUAGCCUCCUCUCCUUGGCCAACUUCCUCCUAUUCUUCUCCUCCUCCUCCUGCACAGACCCCCCCCCCCCCCCCCCCCCCCCCCGCCCGCGCCAAUCCACGGUGUUAGCGACGGAAGCUCUGACCGCCCGCCCUCCUCCAGCCGAUUGUCGAUCUCAACCAUGCGUCCUAUCUCCAGAUGGACAGAGGAGAGUGAGGACGAGACGGGGACCCACUCAAGCAAGGGAAGUGUGGCAACUCAUGAGGAUGGAAGAGCAUGGAAGGGAGCUUGGUGGGGUGGAGUUCUAUAGAAUGACUCACACCCACCGAGGUGGCAUCAUCAUCGAAUAAGACCAGUCGUGUCGAAGCUCAGAUGUUCGCCGAAUUGAUGGGCCCGGAGCGUUAUAGUCGAGUGAGGGGUUAUGGUGUUGGAUUUACCCCCAUUUAAUUAUCUAUAGUGAGCAGAAAUACACAAGAUGUCCAACAAGGUAGUAGCAUUUAGAAGUUUGUAGACUGAAGGCAGCAAUAGAGAAGAUGAGGCAGAGGCAUCAUACAAGGAUAGAGCAUAUGACGCAGAGCUAUCAAACAAAGAUACAAUCUUUGAAAGCUCGGCUUGACCAGAUUGCAUCUAUGUUGCAUAGGUUCGUGAUACUUCAUCUACUCAUAGAUAUGAUUAUGAUGAUGCCAUUGACCCCAAGAUACCUCAUAGACUAUUUAUUUAGGAGUUUUUUAUGUGUAUUUUUUUAUGUUUUUGAAUCCAUUGUAAAUGUAAAUCGACAAUGUAAA
Molecule: long non-coding RNA, 1754 nt
Organism: Phoenix dactylifera (date palm)
Lineage: Eukaryota; Viridiplantae; Streptophyta; Magnoliopsida; Arecales; Arecaceae
Source: RefSeq, a predicted model, not a curated record